RNAcentral lists this ribosomal RNA (534 nucleotides) under Triticum aestivum (bread wheat). RNAcentral's name for it is "partial small subunit ribosomal RNA". Lineage: Eukaryota; Viridiplantae; Streptophyta; Magnoliopsida; Poales; Poaceae. The record is from RNAcentral.
AUGCUUGCUGGGCUGGGCUCCGAGUUCGAGCCUCUUGUCGUGUCGAUCACGGCACGUGAUGACCCCGUGAGCCUCAACAGCUUUUAUGCAUUUCUUCUCAGCGCUGAAAUUCGUCUUGAGCAGCAAAACUCAACUGGAGAGAUCCAUCCCUCCGCGAACGCUGCAGCACGUGGCAAUGGUGCACAUGGCGGGCAAGGCGGACAAGCUCGUGGUUGUGGUGGGCGUGGUCGCGGCAAUGGGCGCUCCAACCUGAAGUGUCAGGUGUGUGGCAAGUUCGGCCAUGACGCGCUCCACUGUCGCAAUUGCUUCAACCACACGUACCAGCCGGAGGAGCACCGCGAGCGCUCCGACAACGUCGCCAACACCGGCUCCUACUCCGUGGACAUGGACUGGUACGUGGACACCGGUGCCACCGACCACCUGGCGAACGAUCUCGACCAUCUCACCGUCCAUGAGCGCUACGGUGGCAAGGACAAGGUGCACGUCGCCAAUGUGGCAGGACUGAGCAACAAGGAAGGUUCUUCUUCGCAGUAG